This 465-nucleotide ribosomal RNA is filed under the name Vreelandella stevensii. Its description in RNAcentral is "partial 16S ribosomal RNA". It matches the Rfam family "Bacterial small subunit ribosomal RNA", at positions 338 to 795 of the family's 1533-position model. The record is from RNAcentral. Lineage: Bacteria; Pseudomonadati; Pseudomonadota; Gammaproteobacteria; Oceanospirillales; Halomonadaceae.
CCUACGGGGGGCAGCAGUGGGGAAUAUUGGACAAUGGGCGAAAGCCUGAUCCAGCCAUGCCGCGUGUGUGAAGAAGGCCUUCGGGUUGUAAAGCACUUUCAGUGGGGAAGAAAGCCUUGGGGCUAAUACCCUCGAGGAAGGACAUCACCCACAGAAGAAGCACCGGCUAACUCCGUGCCAGCAGCCGCGGUAAUACGGAGGGUGCGAGCGUUAAUCGGAAUUACUGGGCGUAAAGCGCGCGUAGGCGGUCUGAUAAGCCGGUUGUGAAAGCCCCGGGCUCAACCUGGGAACGGCAUCCGGAACUGUCAGGCUAGAGUGCAGGAGAGGUAGGUAGAAUUCCCGGUGUAGCGGUGAAAUGCGUAGAGAUCGGGAGGAAUACCAGUGGCGAAGGCGGCCUUCUGGACUGACACUGACGCUGAGGUGCGAAAGCGUGGGUAGCAAACAGGAUUAGAUACCCGUGUAGUC